Molecule: ribosomal RNA, 227 nt
Filed under: uncultured beta proteobacterium
Lineage: Bacteria; Pseudomonadati; Pseudomonadota; Betaproteobacteria
Description: partial 16S ribosomal RNA
Rfam family: Bacterial small subunit ribosomal RNA
Source: RNAcentral
CUUGACAUGUAUGGAACCCUGCUGAGAGGUGGGGGUGCCCGAAAGGGAGCCAUAACACAGGUGCUGCAUGGCUGUCGUCAGCUCGUGUCGUGAGAUGUUGGGUUAAGUCCCGCAACGAGCGCAACCCUUGUCCCUAGUUGCUACGCAAGAGCACCCUAGGGAGACUGCCGGUGACAAACCGGAGGAAGGUGGGGAUGACGUCAAGUCCUCAUGGCCCUUAUGGGUAG